This 1592-nucleotide long non-coding RNA is filed under the name Cricetulus griseus (Chinese hamster). Its description in RNAcentral is "lncRNA (ENSCGRG00015039894.1)". The record is from RNAcentral. Lineage: Eukaryota; Metazoa; Chordata; Mammalia; Rodentia; Cricetidae.
UAGCCGUCUGCCAUGGCGGGUGGGUGAAAGACCCGAGCUAACAUGGGGUUAGUUCGUUAAAUUACAAUAAAGCCUCGUGCAGUUUGCAGCAAGCUCUCGAAUCCGCCUGGUGAUUGGGGUGACCGCGAACCUGGCCUGAGACCCCGGAUACUUGAGUUUUCAGGGGUCUAACAUUUUGGGGGCUCGUCUGGGAUUUGCGACCACCCUUCACCUGAGUGGAUUCGAUCUUGGAGGUAAGAUGAUUAGAGCUCGCAAUUUAUAUAUGUUCAAUGUUCUAUGUUUCUUGUUUUGUCUCUUGCUGUGUUGUUGGUUUGGUGCCAUGAUUUGUAUUUGAUCUGCGCAGAAUUUGUAUUUGUAAUUCGGACUUCUGGGGAAGACCCUGAAGUCCUGCCCUGGAUGAAAGUCCGAGGGUUGCUUGAUUUGAUCUGCACAGAAUUUGUAAUUUGUAUUUGAUCUGCGCAGAAUUUGUAAUUGAACCAUAGGGUAAGCAGACUUGCGAGAACCUUGGUUCCACCCUGGAUGAAAGUCCAAGGUUUGGUUGUAAUUUUGGUUUGGGGCACCAUUUCUUUGCCGCGGUUUGUCCUGUCUAAUGUUUGUGCUGUCUAAUGUGCUGUCAUUUGUGUUAUGUGUUUCUUAAGCAUCUCUUUCUGUCCCACAUUGCCCAUGCACGUGGCAUGCAUGGGUCAGGGGUCUUUUCUUGUUGCCCUAAGCACAUGGCACGGGAAAGGAGUUCUGCCAUGUGUCACGGGUUAGAAUGUGUUAUGUUGGAGUCCCCCGAUGCUGCUUUUCUGAACUCGAACCACUGCUGCAGCCCUUACAGCUGAGCCUGGCCCAUGUAGGUUUCUGCUUCUGGCUGACAUCUGAGUAUCAGUUGCUAACUACAGGCUGUUCUAAGUAGACUGCGAGCCCUGGACUUGCUGUGGAUGUGAACCAGUCCAGCUGAUAUGGACACCCCCUGUCUCUGCAACAGUGUCUGCUAACCAGAAGCCCCUGAUGAAUUCCCCAUUGCCUAAAUUCCUUUUUGCUUUUGACUAGCAUUUCAACCUUCUGGGGUCCCUAACUUCGUCCCAAAGUCAGCAGGAAGCAGUUUGGAAAAGAAUUUCGCCGUCCAUUUUCCCUGGUUAAAAUGCUAAGUCAAAAGGAACUCCCUUGCAUGGGGAUGACAGUAUCUAUCACUCCCUGAUGGGGAUGCUAGAGAGACAGCAAUUCCAUGAUUGGAAUUUACAAAAAAGAAAAUGGGGGAAUGAAGGAACCGGCUUCCCUUUUGGCAGCCAUAACAGCCGAACAUGUGCUUGCCAUAUACCUGCCUUGGUCACUUAGAGGUCAGAUGCCUGUCUUGUGACAAGGAACCAAUCAGAAGUUAGCUGGUGGCGCUAUGCUUUACGACCCUGGGUGUGCUUUACGGACAAGCGCACAGCAAUGACGUAGAGAGCAUAGCAACCACCCUGGGAGGGCCUAUGAGCCAUAACAACCAGUUGACCAAUCAACACAGGGCAAGCCCUCCAAGCCUGGAGGCACACCAAUCAUGAGCCUGUGCGUAAGCCUGUGCGUACCCCUAGACACUCCCCUUACGCUGCCCUAUAAGAUCUUUG